This 449-nucleotide ribosomal RNA is filed under the name uncultured bacterium. Its description in RNAcentral is "partial 16S ribosomal RNA". It matches the Rfam family "Bacterial small subunit ribosomal RNA", at positions 330 to 793 of the family's 1533-position model. The record is from RNAcentral.
UCCAGACUCCUACGGGAGGCAGCAGUGGGGAAUAUUGCACAAUGGGGGAAACCCUGAUGCAGCGACGCCGCGUGAGCGAGGAAGUAUUUCGGUAUGUAAAGCUCUGUCAGCAGGGAAGAAGAAUGACGGUACCUGAAGAAGAAGCACCGGCUAAAUACGUGCCAGCAGCCGCGGUAAUACGUAUGGUGCAAGCGUUAUCCGGAUUUACUGGGUGUAAAGGGAGCGCAGGCGGUUCUGCAAGUCUGAUGUGAAAGCCCGGGGCUCAACCGCGGGACUGCAUUGGAAACUGCGGGACUGGAGUGUCGGAGGGGGAAGCGGAAUUCCUGGUGUAGCGGUGAAAUGCGUAGAUAUCAGGAGGAACACCGGUGGCGAAGGCGGCCUGCUGGACUGCGACUGACGGUGAGGCCCGAAAGCGUGGGGAGCAAACAGGAUUAGAUACCCCGGUACUG